Molecule: unclassified non-coding RNA, 377 nt
Filed under: uncultured Parachlamydiaceae bacterium
Lineage: Bacteria; Pseudomonadati; Chlamydiota; Chlamydiia; Parachlamydiales; Parachlamydiaceae
Description: contains 16S-23S intergenic spacer region
Source: RNAcentral
UCCUGGUUAACCCAGGCAGUCUCGUUAGAGUUCCCACCUUAAAUGCUGGCAACUAACGAUAAGGGUUGCGCUCGUUGCGGGACUUAACCCAACACCUCACGGCACGAGCUGACGACAGCCAUGCAGCACCUGUGCAGCGGUCCCGAAGGAAGACGCUAUCUCUAGCGCUGUCCACUGCAUGUCAAACCUGGGUAAGGUUCUUCGCGUUGCAUCGAAUUAAACCACAUGCUCCACUGCUUGUGCGGGUCCCCGUCAAUUCUUUUGAGUUUCAGCCUUGCGACUGUACUUCCCAGGCGGUAUACUUAACGCGUUAGCUCCGGCACAGCCAGGGUUGAUUCCGGCUACACCAAGUAUACAUCGUUUACGGCAAGGACUAC